UAAGGACCAAAUAUACCACUGGGACCACGGAAUUAUUGUCUGACAAUAAGACAUCAUCAACCAUCCAACAUUCCAUAAGCGGAUCAAUCAAUGAACUAAUUCUCCAAUGAGCACCUGUACUAUAUCCCUAGUGUCCCUAUAUGAGUAGCUGUGAGACAAAUUACAUCCAUCAUAUGGACGGGCAUACAACACACCAAUCUGUCUAGUUAUCUCGAUGUCCCUCUCGAGUAACCUAUGACCGGGAUUAUUUAGGAUCUAUGUUUGAAGGCGGGUCAGUCUCAUUAUCAUGAUCUUAUAACGAUCCGAUUCCAAUUACAUAGAUCCAAGGACAUCACAAAA
This 339-nucleotide long non-coding RNA is filed under the name Musa acuminata (dwarf banana). RNAcentral describes it as "long non-coding RNA (MACU_LNC009804)". The record is from RNAcentral. Lineage: Eukaryota; Viridiplantae; Streptophyta; Magnoliopsida; Zingiberales; Musaceae.